Molecule: unclassified non-coding RNA, 300 nt
Organism: Callithrix jacchus (white-tufted-ear marmoset)
Lineage: Eukaryota; Metazoa; Chordata; Mammalia; Primates; Cebidae
Rfam family: Metazoan signal recognition particle RNA
About the family: The signal recognition particle (SRP) is a universally conserved ribonucleoprotein.
Source: Ensembl
GCCAGGCAUGGAGGCACGUGCCUGUAGUCCCAGCUACUUCGGAGGUUGAUGCUGGAGGAUUGAUUGAGCCCAGGAGUUCUGGGCUGUAGUGCGCUAUGCUGAUUGGGUGUCCGCACUAAGUUCGGCAUCAAUAUGGUGACCUCUUGAGAGUGGGAGACCACCAGGUUGCCUAAGGAAGGGUGAACCGGCCCAGGUAGGAAAUGGAGCGGGUAAAAACUCCCAUGCUGAUCUGUAGUAGAAUUGUGCCUGUGAAUAGCCACUAUACUCCAGCCUGAGCAACAUAGUGAGACCCCGUCUCUU